RNAcentral lists this long non-coding RNA (1711 nucleotides) under Cricetulus griseus (Chinese hamster). RNAcentral describes it as "lncRNA (ENSCGRG00015013844.2)". The record is from RNAcentral. Lineage: Eukaryota; Metazoa; Chordata; Mammalia; Rodentia; Cricetidae.
ACCACAGCCAACGUCCCUGGGGAUAUGUGGCCAGUCCAGCUUGAGCACAAGAGGGAAAGUCCCCUUGACAAUAUCACAGUCAUGCACUUUUCAGCUUGCCAAUGCAAAACAUACAUGAUGCAAACACAAUGAGCCAGGAGUAAUCCAGCCCUUCCUGAAGACAGCAACCUGCAGGAAACACACAUCAGGAUUCCAGGGCUAGGGAUCAGUAUGUCCUCUCAGCCAGGACCCAGCCACAUCAAGGUGGCUAGCUCAGCUUGUGGCCCCACAGAUGCUACAUUUUCCAGUUCAAGGUGGCUUUACCUACCCUCCCUCCCAUCCUCUUUCUGCUGUUAUGAUGGGUAACUGUGCUUGAACACUGUAGACUUCAACUCUUUGAUUUCACAGUGGCUUUUCUGCUCUACUCUGUGGAGGGAAGCCCUAAUCUUGGGAAGUUUACCUGUUUAGCUGUGGUCACAUUCCUGAUUCAAUGGAAUACAAGAGACUAGCCGUGGGGGAGAGAGGGGGAGAAGUGAUGCUGCUUGCAAGGGUCGAUGCACACUGCAAUUCACCUCCAGAAUACCACUCUCAACUCCAAACUUCUCUCAGUUGUACGGUGAGAGUGAAGACAACAGAGCAAGGAGACUCUGGCUCCCAUUAGGUGGCCUCUCCUUCUCUGCUUCCGUGUUAUUUCCUUAAAGCUCUGCUUGGUAAGUGUGCAAAAGGAAGGUUUAGAUUUUGCUGACUCAAAGAACAAUAUAGAAAGCAUCUAAAACAUUUCUUUGCAUUUUAUGACUACAAACAGAGAACGGGAAGUGAGGAAGCAGAAGGCUUGUAGGGCUUCUUGGCUCAUGAACUGCCUAUAUGCUGUUUCCACAGUCCUUUCCUGAUCUCCAUAUUCCUCAGAGCACAGAAGUGCUACCUGCGAACUCUCCUUGGUCCAGGGAUGCAGAGAGAGAAAGAGGAAACAGGCAGGCAAUUACCCCAUGUGGCUCAGAGUCACAAGGCCAAGGGAAGCCACGCUGUAUAGAAGAGGAGCUUGGCUUCCUGGUUCACCUUUGUCAUCUUUCCUAGACUGCAGUAAACAGAGUCACCAGCAUCUUACCUCCAGGACUACACCAACUCUAAUGUACCUUACCAGUUGCUGCCAGAGGGGCCUUUCUAACUCAUAAAUUAGCAUAAUCCUCCAGUUCUUCAAAAUCCUACAGUAGCCACCUCGGGGAUGGGAUAAAGGAUUGUUACUUUAGCACAGAUUCCUUAUCAGGAGUUGGAAUUAAGCGCUGUAGACCUAUGAGGACUUCAGUCUUGUCUGCAAAAUGAGCUUUGGGCCCAACAGCUCAGGCCUCUUUCGUGGGACCCUCCUCAUGUGCUAGCCUUCCACAAAAUAUUCCUCAGCCUGGAUUUUCACAGACGCCACACCCUCACCCUCCUGCUGCUCAGCCCUCCCACCGACUCAUCUGCCUUGGGUGAUGGCCACGCCCUCCUCUGUCUGGCCUCCACUUUCUCUAACCUGGAGCAACUACUCUCCUGACCCUGCCUUACAGAGUUCAAGUUUCUGGCAGGCGGGGACAUGUUUUAUAGGCUUUUUUGUCCCCCAAGGCUCACAACUCAGCAGUUCCUGAACAGAGGAGAGACUCUAAGGCACCAUACAAAAUACAAGGAACUUGGCUACCAAAUCUUGAGUUCCAAGCCUCCUGCUUCUGGGCUUUUGCCACGAAGCCAAGACAUUAAC